RNAcentral lists this ribosomal RNA (482 nucleotides) under uncultured bacterium. RNAcentral describes it as "partial 16S ribosomal RNA". It matches the Rfam family "Bacterial small subunit ribosomal RNA", at positions 28 to 523 of the family's 1533-position model. The record is from RNAcentral.
GACGAACGCUGGCGGCGUGCUUAACACAUGCAAGUCGAGCGAGACCCCGCUUUCGGGUGGGUGUUCUAGCGGCGAACGGGUGAGUAACACGUGGGCAACCUGCCCUCAGCUCUGGGAUAACUCCAAGAAAUUGGGGCUAAUACCGGAUAUGACCGCUGACCGCCUGGGCUGGUGGUGGAAAGACUUAUCGGCUGGGGAUGGGCCCGCGGUCUAUCAGCUUGUUGGUGGGGUAGUGGCCUACCAAGGCGACGACGGGUAGCCGGCCUGAGAGGGUGACCGGCCACACUGGGACUGAGACACGGCCAGACUCCUACGGGAGGCAGCAGUGGGGAAUAUUGCGCAAUGGGCGAAAGCCUGACGCAGCGACGCCGCGUGGGGGAUGACGGCCUUCGGGUUGUAAACCUCUUUCAGCAGGGACGAAGCGAAAGAGACGGUACCCGCAGAAGAAGCACCGGCCAACUACGUGCCAGCCGCCGCCGAAA